AUGAUCCUCUGCGACGUGCAUGUCCCUGCUCCUUCCGGGGAGGAGGAAUUCCCCGGCCCCAGGCUGCUCCGCUACGUACCGCUGCCGGAGCCAAUGCAGCCGGACAACGGCCUCCCUCUCUAUGGCAUGUCUUCCACGUCGUCCUUCUUCCGGGACAUCGCUGUUGUCAAUGGCCGGAUCAAGUUCGUCGACCUUCAGCUCCAUGCCAGCCCGGGCUCGCGCACCCCGAAUGGUUGGACGGCCGUCACAUGGAGCAAUGCGCCUGGUGAUUCGGGUUUCACCAAGGACGGGGAGCUGAAUUCCCGUGAUAUGGUGAACCCCAUGGAGCCGUCCCUGUUUGUUGGUCACCCCACGCUCAGCUCCUGUGAACUGUGA
Molecule: ribosomal RNA, 375 nt
Filed under: Triticum aestivum (bread wheat)
Lineage: Eukaryota; Viridiplantae; Streptophyta; Magnoliopsida; Poales; Poaceae
Description: partial small subunit ribosomal RNA
Source: RNAcentral